RNAcentral lists this ribosomal RNA (258 nucleotides) under uncultured bacterium. RNAcentral describes it as "partial 16S ribosomal RNA". It matches the Rfam family "Bacterial small subunit ribosomal RNA", at positions 98 to 354 of the family's 1533-position model. The record is from RNAcentral.
CGGCACGGGUGAGUAACACGUAUGCAACCUGCCUGCCACAGCCGGAUAAUCGGGAGAAAUUCCGUCUAAUACGGCAUAAUGCAUCGACGGGACAUCCUGUUGGUGCCAAAGGUUGAUUCCGGUGGCGGAUGGGCAUGCGUCGCAUUAGUUAGUUGGCGGUGUAACGGACCACCAAGACGACGAUGCGUAGGGGUUCUGAGAGGAAGGUCCCCCACACUGGUACUGAGACACGGACCAGACCCCUACGGAAGGCAGCAG